GUCAAGGGGUACUAACCUACAAAUGGCUUUAUUCACAUUAAUCAUGUCUAUCACAGAGUGUUGUAGAAACCUAGUAAAUGAUCACAGAAUUCUUUGUUGUAGUAACAUCACAAGAGAGUUGUUUAGGUGAUUUGAUAAUAUCCAAUCAAAUUGUAGCAUGUCACAUAUGUAGAGAAUUGAUUGUGUGUAUGUAUCUGAAAACCUAUAUAAUAAACAAACCAUGAUACUAUGACAGAGCACUGUGUGAUGCCUGCAUAUGUGGGUUGAAUGCACGGUGUUUCUCAUCUCCUUAUUCUGACCAUGACAUCACAUCUGGGCAGAGGGACCUUGAAUCCUCAGAGGGGCUACUGGACGGACCCCCGUAAAGAGGGAAAUAGGAAGGGAGGUGAUGAGUUAGAGUUUGUCUGGUCUCCCAGGGUGGACCUGGUGAACUAGCUGUUCUCUCUCCUGUGGCUUUCCUUGGGAUCCAUCUUACCAACUACCUGUUCCUGUGUAUCUUGUUGAUGCUGACUGAGAGAUAUUCCUACACAGCUGCUUGAGACACCUAAAGCCAUCUGUCAGGAGACCUUCCCUUUGAGCCCUGUUCCUGCUUACCUUCCAACCUUACUACCUCUAGUACCAUCUAAGGGGGGGGGGGGGGUUGGGUUAGUGAAGUGUAUUUUAUUAUAGGAACUGGGGCUCUUAGGUAGAGAGGUGAUGGGCAGUGCAGAUGCCACCUCUCCGAAGCUACCAACUAGAUUUGGUGGGAGGUUUAUUUAUAUUCUUUAGAUAGAUCAUCCCAAGUCCCUUCCCUUAUCUUAAAUAAACCGUUUAAUAGAAUUUGGUUUCCUGUAAGC
RNAcentral lists this long non-coding RNA (836 nucleotides) under Monodelphis domestica (gray short-tailed opossum). RNAcentral's name for it is "lncRNA (ENSMODG00000051486.1)". The record is from RNAcentral. Lineage: Eukaryota; Metazoa; Chordata; Mammalia; Didelphimorphia; Didelphidae.